This 466-nucleotide ribosomal RNA is filed under the name uncultured bacterium. RNAcentral's name for it is "partial 16S ribosomal RNA". It matches the Rfam family "Bacterial small subunit ribosomal RNA", at positions 28 to 507 of the family's 1533-position model. The record is from RNAcentral.
GACGAACGCUGGCGGCGUGCUUAACACAUGCAAGUCGAACGGAAAGGCCUCUUUCGGGGGGUACUCGAGUGGCGAACGGGUGAGUAACACGUGAGUAACCUGCCCUUGACUUUGGGAUAACUUCAGGAACUGGGGCUAAUACCGGAUAGGAGCUCCUGCUGCAUGGUGGGGGUUGGAAAGUUUCGGCGGUUGGGGAUGGACUCGCGGCUUAUCAGCUUGUUGGUGGGGUAGUGGCUUACCAAGGCUUUGACGGGUAGCCGGCCUGAGAGGGUGACCGGCCACAUUGGGACUGAGAUACGGCCCAGACUCCUACGGGAGGCAGCAGUGGGGAAUAUUGCACAAUGGGUGGAAGCCUGAUGCAGCAACGCCGUGUGCGGGAUGACGGCCUUCGGGUUGUAAACCGCUUUCGCUCAUGACGAAGCUUUGUGUGACGGUAGUGGGUAAAGAAGCACCGGCUAACUACGUG